CUGAUACACUUUGAAUGAUAAACAGUCUUUUAAUUUUCACGGUAAAACUGUACAUUCAAACAAAAUGUACUAUGAGAUAAAAGAAAAACAAGCAAAAAAUUAAAACAAACCAAAACAAAAUCAACCAGAAUAUAUUCUCUCAAUGCAAUCAAUUUUGAAACAAAAUGUUAUUGUCAUCCCCAAAGCUACACAAACUCAUGAGAGCACAUUCCAACACAUUCUCACUCCCAACUCGUCACAAACUGACUUUGGUUGAGGACCGCUCCGUGCGCUCCGCAUCCCGGUACUAAAGUGGUGACCCGGUAAAGGUUCGUGUCCGGGCCUGGUUUGCACCCAGUACUGUGUCUGGUGCGGGUUUAGGUCUGGUACCACGUCUGGUGCUGGGUUAGGGUCCUGGACUUUUAGUUAUGUACUGGUACUAGACACGUCCCAAGGACCAGUCCCCGUCUGGUACUGGUACUGCAUCUAGUACAAGGUUGCAGACCCUUAAUUUUAUGAACAGCCAACACGUCAAAAAAACUAUGAGUUAGGACACCCGAAAUGUCAAAAAGGGAUGCAGAGGGGUCCUUAACCAAACGGGAAUAUGUGACGAUUUGGGGAUGAGAAUGUGUUGCCCAUUCAGUCAGACUUCUGAAGGUCACUAUCAGCUUAAUAUAAGCAAAUUUUACAAGCAAACUGGUUUUUAGAAGGGAAAAAACGUGGAGAACACCCACAGCAGAAAGCAGAAAGUAAAUGAUUCUUCCCAGUUAGUGCAAGUUUAGCCAUUGCAAAAAUAAAAUUAAGAAGCAUGUGUGUUUCCUACACACAGCAUACUUCAGACAGAAACAAUGGGAAAGGAAACACCUCCUCCGGCCUGCCACAACAAUCUUUCAGAUCAGCCAACAGACCCCUCAGCCUGUUACACUAAAAGUGUCUGGGAGUUUCAGACACCAACAAAAAUCACACAUCUCUGAUAGGAACAAACUGUGCUUUGUCUCUGUAACUAUGGCACCAUGUACAAUUCUCCAUUGGAAAUAAGCUGCACAUUUCUCAUCGGGGAACUUUAACAGAGAUCGCCAGCGUCCUUUCAGAGUACAGCGCAAGAACCUCAGUCCACUCAGAAAUGGCCAUGUACUUCAGCGACUGAAAUGUCAAACCUUCACACAUGUGUUGCAGAGUCUUCUCUGCCGUGGACAGAACUGAUCUCACGACGUCCUCCAUCACUUUAGACAGGAGCCUGCGUCAAAGAAGAACACCCUGACUGUCAGCAUCUGGGGAUAAGACCAAAUGACCCAGCUUCACACAAGCAGGACCCUUUUACUGAGUAUGAGAUCAGAAGAUUGGAGUCAACCAAAGUAUUGAAAAACAAAGGAGGAUCCUGGCAGUGUCGAGACACCGCAUACCGCUGUGGUACAGGAGCCGUUGGAGGGUCUGGAGUCUAAAGGCCAUGGGUCUGGAUGUAACCACAACCAAGACGGAAUUUUGAGGACCGGCAAGAAGAAACGGCGUUCUCCUCGGGUGCGUUUAAGGCGGCUGGAACGUGAGCUGUGAGGAGGAGCUGAUCCUGAGUUGCUGAUCCUGAUCUGCUUUGAAGCAUUCACACAAUUACCAAAAUGGAGUUUGACACCCCCGUCCUAAACACUCCCAGACCUCCACAGCACUUCAAAAGUUCUCCUUUCAUCUCUCCUCGGUAAGUUGAACCUUUCAACUCAUUUCUACAUCCACUCGUCUGUAUCGCCUGCACAGAUCCACCUCUCCCUCCUUUGGGUCACACCUGUCCUAUUUUGUUUGACCUUCAUCACCUUCACCUGGUGCUGCAACUCCGUCUUCUCUCUGUUCCACUCUUUCCUUUUCUCAGCUUUUCCUCUAAACUCCAAAACUUCUUCACUCCAGAUGAAAACACAAACCUGUCAGUUAUGUCUCAGAUAUUUUUACCAUGAAGCAUAAAAAACAUUUUACCCACAAACACCGGCGUGUUGCUUAGUAACAGAGACUAACCUGAAUGCAAACUUUAGAAAAAAAAAGAACCAAUUAUUUUUUACUCCAUAAAUAGUUUAAAAACAAUCAAACUACAUAUUUUCAGUGAAGUGUGUAUUUUUGUCACAGCAUGUUGUAACCAUAGAAAUGAACAAUGGCUCCGCCUCCUGAGGUGAAGCAGGUGUGUGAGUCUGCAUCACAGCAUCUCUGAAAGCAUCAGACUGAAGCAGAAGCCAAAAAAGCUGUUAGUGAUCUCCACCUGCAGCGUCCAAAUUAUGCACCGCGGUUCAGAUGAAAAAACACAUUUUAGUCUUUUAAUGGACUAUUGCUUGGUGUUUAUAUGCAUAUGAGCAGCAGUCCUCCUCUGUCCUCCUGCUGGAGUUUCUUCUCCGGAUGAUUUUCUGUUUCUGUCUCCUCUGUUUAUCUGAGACCUGAGGCUGCGACACAAACAAGUUUGAGCAAAAUCUAACCUCAUAUAUAACAUCACAGCUUCAAGGUUCUGUCUGGAACCAAAGGAAAAGCAGACGAGACUCAAUGAAGAACUCAUGACGGUUGUUACGGCAACAGCUUUUGUAAACUACCUGUUUAUAAAGAAAACCUGUUUACCUGAAAACACGACAUCCUCCAUGAGGAAGGAAACCACCUCUUACUAUGCAGUGAGGUUCACCUGUUCACAGGUGUGGUGUGUUUGAGGCUCCGUUCUUUUUUAGAAAUCUGCUAUAAUCCAGAAAAUCUUUUACUAUUUUGUCUUUUUUCUUUGAUAAAUUCCCUUUGAGUGUGUGAACGGUGGUGGGUAAAUGCUGCCUUGCUCACUGACAAAAACAGCUUUCAGCUCACAGUCGCAGGUUAAUAGAAGCUGGCUAACAGUGAUAAGCAAACAGGUUUUAAGAUCCUUCACAAAUCGACCAUCAUCUCUGCGUUACCAUGACAACAGGACCCAUAAAGUGUCGUUUCAUUUUUUGGCUGAUUCUCUGUCAUCUGUGUCUAUAAAGUUAUGUUGAGGAAAAAAACGUUUAGUUCAGAACUCUGUUGGAUGGCGGAUCCGUUUCAGCCUUCAGAGAAACAACACGGAGCCCCCCGCCCCCCUUGAAAAACGGUGGGGGUGUCUGUGUGUUAGCAGGGAUGGAUGACAGUAUAUCAGUGGGGAAGAGGGAUGGAUUUUCAUCAUGAGCUGUCACCACGUCUCCCACUCACCCCCACCCCCAACAAACUCCACUGGGUGGGAGGAUCAUUGUCCUCCAG
This is a long non-coding RNA of Oryzias melastigma (Indian medaka), 3198 nucleotides long. RefSeq lists it as uncharacterized. Lineage: Eukaryota; Metazoa; Chordata; Actinopteri; Beloniformes; Adrianichthyidae. The record is from RefSeq and is a predicted model, not a curated record. The transcript has 5 exons.